RNAcentral lists this ribosomal RNA (514 nucleotides) under uncultured bacterium. Its description in RNAcentral is "partial 16S ribosomal RNA". It matches the Rfam family "Bacterial small subunit ribosomal RNA", at positions 28 to 523 of the family's 1533-position model. The record is from RNAcentral.
GACGAACGCUGGCGGCGUGCCUAAUACAUGCAAGUCGAGCGGAUCUUCAUUAGCUUGCUUUUGAAGAUCAGCGGCGGACGGGUGAGUAACACGUGGGCAACCUGCCUGUAAGACUGGGAUAACUUCGGGAAACCGGAGCUAAUACCGGAUAAUCCUUUUCCUCUCAUGAGGAAAAGCUGAAAGACGGUUUCGGCUGUCACUUACAGAUGGGCCCGCGGCGCAUUAGCUAGUUGGUGAGGUAACGGCUCACCAAGGCGACGAUGCGUAGCCGACCUGAGAGGGUGAUCGGCCACACUGGGACUGAGACACGGCCCAGACUCCUACGGGAGGCAGCAGUAGGGAAUCUUCCGCAAUGGACGAAAGUCUGACGGAGCAACGCCGCGUGAGCGAUGAAGGCCUUCGGGUCGUAAAGCUCUGUUGUCAGGGAAGAACAAGUAUCUAAGAGUAACUGCUUAGGUAGUGACGGUAUUUAACCAGAAAGCCACGGCAAACUACGUGCCAGCCGCCGCCGUAA